This 91-nucleotide ribosomal RNA is filed under the name Acanthosepion pharaonis. The record is from RNAcentral. Lineage: Eukaryota; Metazoa; Mollusca; Cephalopoda; Sepiida; Sepiidae.
AUCAUAUCCCGUACGAUCACCGAAGUUAAGCAACGUCGGGCUUGUUGAGUACCUAGAUGGGUAACCGCUUGGGAAUACCAGGUGCUGUAAG